AUUAGCAUUUUUGUCAGAAGUUUUUUUAGUGUAAUCAUACUGUUACAAUCAGUGUAGUAUUGCUGACUGAAUAAUGUCUCUGUUUCAGCAAAAGAUACAGCAGAAUUAGAGUUCAGGAGGGCAUCAUCCAAUGCAGUCAAUCUCACUCUGGAUCCUAAAUGCACACAUGUCAAGCUCAACAUUAAAGAUAAAAAUCAAAUCAAAUUGAAUCUGUCUGACUCAGGAUCAAAGCCUCUGAAAGGAACUCCAAUUGCAGUGGCAAAUGAGGCAUUUGAUCAAGGUAGAAUGUACUGGGAGGUGGAGGUUGGACAAAAACCAGACUGGGAGUUGGGAGUACUUUCUGCGGAGGCAAGAAAGAAACUAGAACAAGAGAAGCUGGAAAAGCCACUGGAAGAUGGAUAUGUGUCUAUGAGAUGGUUCGGGGGUCAAUAUCACUGCUCUGGAGGAAACAGUUUAAUCAGCAGUCAAAAUAAAGAAUGCAAAGUUGUAGGUGUUUAUCUGGUCAUGGAUGAAGAAGAGCAGAUGCUCUCAUUUUUUGAUGUUGAGCAGAAGUAUCCUAUUCGGUCCAUCCCUGCCUCCUUUUCUGGGAAAAUGUUUCCAUUUUUCAAUCCUGGAAAGGAUGAGUGGUAUUUGGGAGUGCGCCCAGUGAAUAUCCUCCAUGUUUAGUAUCCCUUUGAUACUAAGCUUAAGACCCCUUUGACGCUUUGUUUUUUAUCAGCUUUGUGUAUGGACUGAUUUAAACUUGUCAUUGCCUUCCUUGAUUUCUUUCUCCUGCCCUUGAUGACUCAUAGUCCAAGUGUUGCUUUUGAAGCAAAGUGAGAUGCUUGAUGCUUCGGGUCCUGAUGGGCCCGAAAAUGGUCCCUGAUGUUUCAGCCAUCCAAUGAGGAUUGCAUAUAGGGGAGCCAUCCCUUAGUGACUGAUGAUGAAGCUUGUUCACUGAAGAAAAAGAUAUUGACAUAGUUUUAAUGUUACAUGCUAAUUUGGAAACAUAGUAAAACGACUUACAAAACACUCAGGAGUCGGAGUCUCUCAUUCUUAUUCUCAUUCUCAUUCUUUCCUGACUGAAAAAGCAAAAUAUUCCUCAAAUUCAGAAUGAUGGUAUAAAGCAUUCUGUCAAUUCUGGAAGUUUUACUUCCAAAAAUCUGGCUUCUGACAUCAAUGGAAUAGGAUUGUAGGCAGAUUUGAAAUGAAAUAUGGAAGUAUACUACCAUGAAAUAACAUGUUUCAGAAGCUUCUUCACAUGAAUAUAGUAAGCCUUUACACAAUCUGCUUUCAGCAACAACAAAGGAAACAUGCCUGCCUGUUUUUAAUCUAUUCUGUACCUUUCUUAAAACAAUAAAUGUAUUGAUACUUUGGUUGUC
Molecule: long non-coding RNA, 1361 nt
Organism: Candoia aspera
Lineage: Eukaryota; Metazoa; Chordata; Lepidosauria; Squamata; Candoiidae
Exons: 3
Source: RefSeq, a predicted model, not a curated record